This 6575-nucleotide long non-coding RNA is filed under the name Sus scrofa (pig). RNAcentral describes it as "lncRNA (ENSSSCG00035013436.1)". Lineage: Eukaryota; Metazoa; Chordata; Mammalia; Artiodactyla; Suidae. The record is from RNAcentral.
AGAGCGUGGAGGUGGCGCGGGCGCGGCGGUGGGCCUGGGGGUCGUCACUCCUGCAGCUGGCAGCCGCCGCUCCGCGCUUCCUGCCGCAUCUCUCUUGCCCGGCGGGCGCCCAUCCCGUCCCGCCCCGGCCCGUGGACCUGCAAACCGAGGCUCAGAGCGGAUUUGCCCUAGGGGCUUUCACGAGCUUAGCAGAGGGGUUCCCGGCGGGGUUCCCUGGGGUCACGGGGCGCGAUGAGCAGCGAAGAAAGGAGGCGAGGAGCUGCGUCCGGGCUGGGUGCUCUCUGAACGCGAGGAGGCGGGAUGCGCUCGCCGGGGUCCAUGAUGUGCUCGGCGCCCGUCCCUGGGCCCGGGAAUGCGGCCGCUGGGGAACCCGGGCCAGCGAAUUCGCCCGCGAUCUCCGCGGAUCCCAGGACUGCCAGCGCUUUGGCCCUAGAUGGACGGUGGGGAAUGGGGUAGGGGGCUCCGGAACCCCUAACGUGGAUUACUUGGUGCAUAUCGCCCGGGCAUGGAAGACCCACCACCUCGUCUCCACCCGUGGAUUGAUGUCUUCUGCCGAACAGGUCGCUUACCUGGAGGUGGAACCAGAGAUUCGUGGCUGCUGUGAGUAGGUGCUUCUGACGGGGAAAGAAGGACAAGAUGAGAGGCCUGGAAGGAAGGACCGAUACAGGGCUGUUCUUCCUCGCCCACGCUUCCCACCAGGAACUUCUGUGGAGCCAGAGUUUGCCGCCAGGACCCCCACAGGACCUGGGUGAAACAGGACCAUCUCUUAAGAGGCAAGAGCUCUUGAUUUGAUUGAGGAUUCUUAUUUUGGAGAACAAAGCAACUUCCAGAUUUGAGAAGACCUACAGUUGAAGAAGACACCAUUGUCCCGGAUCCCUUGUUCUUCCUUCGCGUGGGAAAUGUUUCUUGGCGGGUUCCUGGUCUUAAGACUCCCCCACACCGGCCCCGGGGAAGCCAAGGACUUUCUGCCACACCCUUCCUCGCCCCCCACCUCCCACGUCCGCUGUGCCUUUGGACUCGGCAAUUCUUCUUGUUUGCUCCAUUAUCUUCCAGCCGGAUACAGAGUGAAUAGUUAACUACCCGCAGGUCAAUGGGGUCUUAAUUUUUGUUCCUGCUCCCUCUACAGAGGCCAGUGUCUGUGUGUUGCUAUGCAAGCGGCCUUGGAAUUGCAUCCCUUCUCAUUGAUUUGGGAUCUGGCCCCCGCAGGUUCCAGAGCAAUGCGGGUCCAGGCAGAAAUUCUUCAGGCUCUCAGGAUGUUGGAGGGGGCGCUGGCCGCGAGCUGGACCAUGAAGGCUGGCGUUCCCCACAUUCAGCUUUCUUGGGUUCGGAUCAUAAGCAGGUGUAGAUCUGGAGAAGCAGAAAAUGAACACAUUUUCUACUGACACCGAUGCACGGUCAACGGUGAAGACCUUCUCCCAGCUAGCAUUUGGGUUCUGUGUCCAAACGCGGCGCUUCAUGGCAGAGUAUCCAGCCACCAGAGUUGGUGUGUCUUGAGGACCUGAAUUCUUGAGUGUGUGCUGGUGACACAGCCCUCUGACAGUCGAUGGGGCCUCACAAAACACAAGUCCUGCCUUUUCCUUUUCACUCUGUGGCCGUCAUACAUACGGCUAAAAACAUUUCCUAGAGAUCAGUCAUGGUUCAGUCGUGUCCAAAACGCAGAGCCAAAGAUGCAUUUUCUCUUUUCACAGCAAAUGAAUGACUUGCCUUCGGAAAAAGAAUGAAAGCCAGACAUUCUGCAUCUUUCCCGUGUUGUAGAUGAUGCAUUUGGAUGACCACUUUGUGACUUUGGUGUCUUAGAAGGGAAGCAGUGGGGUCCUUGGCAUCUCAGAUUCACCACAAAACAGACGAGGAGAACUUCUGGAGGAUGGUUUGUGCUUUUGAAAUGGGAGGCUUGUUUGUGGGCUUUUACCUUCCUUCCUUGACCUGCAGACACCUCAUUGCAUUAGAUUCCUUUGGGUUUUAAGAAGCAGAGACUUGCUGAUACUGCUCCGUACGUGCUGGUUUGUUUCGAGUUGCCAUGGACGUAAAGAAGAAAGGAAGCAGCCCGCCGAGGCGCUCUCCACCUAGGCCUGCCCAAGAAGCCCAAGUCGUUCCAGAUAGCCAGGGAUAGCAGAACCGAACCACCCUGGCCAUCUUGAUCUUCUGUUUGCACCAGCAUCCACUGUUCCCAGGAUCCUACCAUGGUGAUGAGCUGAGGGUGACUCAGUUGGCCCAGGACUGAGGAGUUUCCUGGGAUGCAGGACUUUUUAGUGCUAAACCUAGGACAGUCCUAAGCAAACUGGAACAACCAGUCACCCUACUGGGUGACUCGAGGACCCUGCCUCUCUUCUACUUUCCCUGCUGUGACUGGCUGAUGCUCUUGAUGGGUCUGGCCAGUCGCCAUUCAAAACUCUUGCGUCAGGCAACUUCAUUGGCCACUGGGCUACCUAUAGAUGGGUGCCCGUGGACCCAGCACCAACCCAUCUUGACCAGAUUUGUUGUUUCCAGGGUCAUAGGGUUGCAUAAUCUAGAAUAAAAGCCUGGCUGUAAACAACCAGCUGAGACCACUUCCUUCAGAAGACUGCUGUGGACAGGUGGCCCUGGCAGGCAUUCAAGGUAAAAUGAGUGAGUCAGGCCACACGCUUCCCAAAGCCUCUGCCAGCGCUGCCAUCCACAGGGCUGCCAUAUUGGAUGCAGUUCAUGACAAAGGAUUUGCUACUUUUUGUUCUCUCUGGCUCUCCUCCUGCCUUCCCUUCAGCUUGCUCCAAGAUCAUGUUGACAGAUGAUUUCAGCCGGAUAUGCUGAAAGACGAGCUGACAGGGCAGCGCUGGGAGUGCCGACCAGGCUUGUCAUUCUCCAUGGAGGGAGAUUUCCAGACCUCCAGAGGCUGGACCACCCCCAAGUCUACCCAGUUUCCAAGCAUGUGCUGCAGUGAAACGAAGCUUGAUGGCCCAUUCCUUACCCGUUGCCUUGAACAUCUCCAGGCUGCUCUAAAGCACUGCCACCCUGGGGUCCUCGGAUCUCCUGGUGCUGUCCCUGGGUGGGUACCGUACCCCGCCCGGGCACAUUGCGCCACAUCAAACUCCAGAUGCCCUUUCUCCAGGCCACCCCGGUAACCAUCCGUGGAGAAGGCGUCUUAACCAGCCUGCCCGGAUGUAACAGUUCCCCACCGCUACUCAUGCAGUCAAGGGUUGGGAAUGUUCUGGAAUUGCUUAAUUAGGAGAGUUCCUUUCACACACCAGUGGUGAUUUUUUAUUGAACUCAGCGUGAUUUUUAAUCCUCUGGCAGGUCUUCCUGGAUGUGUCUGUGUUUUUAAAGAUCAAUGUUGAGCAGCCAGGCUCCUGAAAUCCUGCUAACCCUUCAAGGCUCGUUGCAAAUGCUCCCUUCUCUAGGAAGCCUUCCUGGGUUUCUUCGUCCGAGUUGUGACUUCUCCCUCUGCCAUAUACUCUCUCAAAGCACCUGGCAUAGGAUAGGUACCCCCAAAAGGUCAAGGUUGACUGCCUUGACCGUAGCAUUUUUGUAUGUCAUUUACUGUGCUUAUAUGGAACUUGUUUUAAAACUCCUUCUCCCAACACUUCUCUCUCUCUGUCUUUCUCUCUCUCUUUCAUUAAAACAGGAACUGAGUCACUCCUUACACAUUGAAUUUAUCCCUGAAAUGCCCAAUACUGUUCAGGAUCACAUGGCACGUACUGUGACUGAUAUUUAAUCCUCAGAAAAUGGAGUUCCCCUGGUGGCUCCACAAAAAUCAAUCUGACUAACAUCCAUGAGGAUGCAGGUUCGAUCCCUGGACUCACUCAGUGGGUUAAGGAUCCGGCAUUGCCAUGAGCUGUGGUGUAGGUCACAAAUGCAGCUCACAUCUGGCAUAGCUGUGGCUGUGGUGUAGGCCGGCAGCUGCAGCUCCAAUUUGACCCCUAGCCUGGGAACUUCCAUAUGCUGCAAGUGCAGCCCUAAAAAGACACACCAAAAAAGUUCUCAGAAAAUGAAAAUUUACAGGAAUCAAUGACUUCGAUCAAGUCUUAUAUGUGAGAGUUUGGAUUCAAAACCAAGGUCAUUGGAGAUUUGAAGUUCAGGGCUCUUAAAUCAUAGCGUGGUGGCUUUUACCUGGUAGACAUAGAAGAAAAAGUUGGAGUUGAUUUUCCUUACUAAUGAUCUGUUGCUCUGUGUACCAUGAAUCCCUGCCCACUAUUAAUCAAGAAGGUGUUUUCUCAGGAGCAGAGAAAACGUGCUUGUUCCUUAAUGGGUGGGUCUCCCCACAGACACUCUUCUGGAAAUAGCGUGUGUCUGGUUUUUGCCAGUUCUGUGAGAGCUAGGGUGAUUUUUAAGGAGGGGAAGAAAAAUUUAAACUCAAAAGUUUAGGUCAGAAUCUCUCAAGAAUUUCACAACGUCUAGCACGGGGAAAUAGAGCAGAAAAACACAACACAUAGGAGAUAGCUUUUUCCCUGGAGAUCUUCCUUACAGGCUGGUUCUGCAAGAAUGGCACACAUAAAACCAUCAGUCCCAUUUGCCACACAGACUCAUGGUUAGGGCUACUGGAGACCCUUGGUAGGUAAUGCUGCCAGCUCUUUGCCCUGACAUGAAUGUGUCCAGCAAGUCACAGAGACUUGGAUAAUGAUAAGCAGAUCCCCUACUUCGGUUCUGAGCGUCAGGGCUUCCACUUGGGGACAGAAGGCAAAGAUGGAAGAGGUGCUAUUCCAGAACCAGCAGACCCAGGGAGGGAACAGCUUGUUCCCAUUUGCUAUCUGGUUAACCAACCGUUCCAUGGGGAAGAGCAUAGAAAGGGGGAAGAAGAGCAGAAAUGUAGGCAGAAGUUUCACCUUGUGGGGGGGGGAAGGACGCAGAGACCACCCCCUCUUCUUCGUAUGAAUGGGGACAAUUAGAAUUUGGGCAGAUUGGGGGGUCCUCUAUGAGCUCUGGUCACCAGGACCAAUUUCAGACCUUUAAGCGACGUUAAGACACUCAGCCAAGAAAAAUCAAGGAGCUCAGGGAAGAGUCGCAGCCCAGUGUUUUUCAGGAAAUAAUACAGCCCCAUGUCUUAUUGCAGCUUGAAGGCUCUUUGAAAAGCUUCUCAUUUGAAUCUCCUAGCAACUCUGUGAGACAGUCUUAAGAUCUCUGUGUUCUAGGUGAGGAAAGUAAGCCGUAUUAGUCACCAUAGACUGCUGUAACAAAACAGCCCGAAAUCUCCGUUGUUGUACAUGGUGGGUCUUUCCCAUUCAUUCUCCAGGGGGAUGUGAGGCAGCAGUGGGAGAAGAAUGAUCUUUUUCAGGCAGGUAUUCAUGGCCUCGGGUUCCUAUCUUAAGAUAGCUCCCAACUUGGAACCCUGACACCUCCAAGGAGGAACUCAGCCUCAUCUUUAGACUGUUUUGUCAGGUGGUUGCAAGGUUGAAAUGGAUUCUUGCAGGUGCAGCACUUAGUGGCUGAGACACAGCCCUCAAUAGAUGGGGGCUUUUACCUCUGUGCUCUGACCUUGGAACUGUCUGGGCCUGUCUGCCAUGCCUCUUGGCGCACAUGAUCUGGGUGGAAAGAGAUCUCAAAUGCAAACUCCAUCACUCUAUGUACGUUUCUCCGAUGUGACACAGCAUCCCUGAAUCUCUCCAGCUUUGGGGAGCUCUUUUAGUUGUUCGGUUUGGUUGGUGGGCUCGAGUUGAGAUGCCAGCCAAGAGCAGAGAUGCUGCUGCCUAGAUACUGGCCCUCAGAACAGCGAUUCUCUUUCCCGGGGCGUCUCGGUCCCAUGUCAGCCUCAUCGGACUCUAAUACCAGUCAAACUUUUUCUCGCAAAGGCCAAGUUCUUUCUAGAACCUGUCAGUUGCCUCUGCUGACUAAGGACGCCCCACAAAAUACUCAAUGAGACCUAUGCAUCGGGUUCUUAAACCCUUUCUGUUGCCUCCCUACCUGGGCAUAGAAAAGAGCUGAUCUCACAGGCCGGGCCACCUUCUCCCUGUUUCUGCGCCUAGAUUUCAGAUCGUACCCUCCUCCACUGCAGACCAACAAGCCUCUCUGGCAGACCCCCCGCUGGGCGGGGGCUUAUGUCAUGUGAGAGCUCAGUCGCCAGGGCUCUGGCACCAGCUCCAUCUGCUCUGUCUUCAGUUCUCCCAGCACCACUGGAGAAUGGAAAGGCUGGUCUGUUUAUAGGACGUGGGGCCAGAACAGCAUUAAAAACUAAGGAGCAAAUAAAAUGUUGUAAACAAAUUUCCUUUCCAGUAAGAAGUGCUUCUCUCCCGGCCCUCCGACAGGAACCAUUUUUCUCCUGUGUUUGGAUAAACGUUCAUCCUGGGCAAUUACCAUUCUCAGGGAGGGGCUGCCUGUUUCCGCUGCCUAUUUAUUUUGAUUUUGGCCAUUCCUGCCCCUUCUGAGCAUCACACAUCUAAUAGGAAAGAAACUGCUCCCUCUGGGCACACAAGGAGCAGCCCCCUCCACUCCCCCCCCCCAACUCCCAUUUUCCAUCACCCCUCCCCGCUUCCCUGUCCAGACUCCCCAUCAGGAAGCUGUCUGCCAGGAGAGCCAGCAGUGUCAGUUAAGGGAGAAGGAAGGAGAGAAGGGCAGGGGAGAUGGAGGUGAAGCGGAGGAGAGAAAUGUUUCAAAUAAAAGCUGGAACAGAU